CCCCUAGAUGUUCUGGGAUGCACGCGCGUUACACUGAUUCGUUCAACGAGUUUAUGACCUUGCCUGAUGAGGUGGGGGAAUCUUUUCAAAUCGCAUCGUGAUGGGGAUAGAGUAUUGUAACUGUUAGUCUUCAACGAGGAAUUCCUAGUAAGUACGUGUCAUCAGCUCGUACUGAUUAUGUCCCUGCCCUUUGUACACACCGCCCGUCGCUCCUACCGAUUGAGUGCUCAGGUGAAUAGUAUGGACUGCAUCAGUGUUCGGUCUCCGAAUGUUGACGCGAGAAAUUCUGUGAAUCUUAUUGCUUAGAGGAAGGAGAAGUCGUANCA
Molecule: ribosomal RNA, 326 nt
Filed under: uncultured eukaryote
Lineage: Eukaryota
Description: partial 18S ribosomal RNA
Rfam family: Eukaryotic small subunit ribosomal RNA
Source: RNAcentral